RNAcentral lists this ribosomal RNA (439 nucleotides) under uncultured bacterium. RNAcentral's name for it is "bacterial SSU rRNA". It matches the Rfam family "Bacterial small subunit ribosomal RNA", at positions 30 to 475 of the family's 1533-position model. The record is from RNAcentral.
AUUGAACGCUGGCGGCAUGCCUUACACAUGCAAGUCGAACGGCAGCGGACCUUCGGGUGCCGGCGAGUGGCGAACGGGUGAGUAAUAUAUCGGAACGUACCUUUCAGUGGGGGAUAACGUAGCGAAAGUUACGCUAAUACCGCAUAUUCUGUGAGCAGGAAAGCAGGGGAUCGCAAGACCUUGCGCUGAUUGAGCGCCCGAUAUCAGAUUAGCUAGUUGGUGAGGUAAAGGCUCACCAAGGCGACGAUCUGUAGCGGGUCUGAGAGGAUGAUCCGCCACACUGGAACUGAGACACGGUCCAGACUCCUACGGGAGGCAGCAGUGGGGAAUUUUGGACAAUGGGCGCAAGCCUGAUCCAGCCAUGCCGCGUGAGUGAAGAAGGCCUCGGUUGUAAGCUCUUCGUCCGGGACGGAAGUACGCACAGUUAAGUACCCUACGU